Silurus meridionalis is the source of this 790-nucleotide long non-coding RNA. RefSeq lists it as uncharacterized. The record is from RefSeq and is a predicted model, not a curated record. The transcript has 6 exons. NCBI's taxonomy places the organism in Eukaryota, Metazoa, Chordata, Actinopteri, Siluriformes, Siluridae.
CAAGCAAGGUGUUGGUGGUGCUGGUAAACCCCCUGACACUCUCAGCCAUGUGCCGUCUGAACCGCCAGCACAUUUUAUUGUGGAUGACGAAUAUCCUAUUGAAUGGAGGUAGCUGUUGUGAUAAUUCAAACAGUAGUACACCUAUUACUGCUAACAAUACCCCUACAAAUGCCAUGGAAAAUGAAAACUUUUGACAAAGGAACUCACUUUAUUUAUUCUCAUCGGACUGCCAGUGAUGGGCUUUUUGCUGCUUCUCUCUUUGACUUGUCAGUGCAUAUCAUGCAUUUACAUUAUGUCCAGAAAAGCUGAACCUACAGUCAUUGCUUCACCAAAAGAGGACAAGGAGCAGACCAUAGUGGCAGGUGAAGAGGAGUUAUGGUACACCACAGUGAAGUUUAACAAAGAGGCCAAAAAUCCUGAUCAAAUGACAAAUUUUGAUCAAAAAUCUGAAUAUGCAACAGUGGUCAUUAAAACACCGGACCGCCGCUCUCUACAACUGGACCUGGCAGAUGAAGCUGAGGAGUCCAAUGAAAUAUGUAUUGAUUAGAGAAUCAUUUGCUUUUCAAUAGCAUUGUUAUUUUUAUAUAUAUUUGAUUUAUUUGUAUGCUAUAACUGUUUUGAAGAUUUACGUUUCAUUGCAUUCAGCAGACUAGAUUUUUAGACUAACUUUGAAUAUGUAUAAUCUGCAUUAGCAUAACAUCACAGUACAUGUACAUUUAUUUCUAAUUUGUUUUAUUUUAUUUUUUGCUUUUAGGUUUAGAAAUAAAUGGAAAAAAAUUUACAAACAAAA